This 253-nucleotide ribosomal RNA is filed under the name uncultured bacterium. Its description in RNAcentral is "partial 16S ribosomal RNA". It matches the Rfam family "Bacterial small subunit ribosomal RNA", at positions 524 to 776 of the family's 1533-position model. The record is from RNAcentral.
CACGUAGGGCGCAAGCGUUGUCCGGAAUUAUUGGGCGUAAAGAGCUCGUAGGCGGUCUGUCGCGUCUGCUGUGAAAACUCGGGGCUUAACCCCGGGCCUGCAGUGGGUACGGGCAGACUAGAGUGCGGUAGGGGAGACUGGAAUUCCCGGUGUAGCGGUGAAAUGCGCAGAUAUCGGGAGGAACACCAGUGGCGAAGGCGGAACUCUGGGCCGGAACUGACGCUGAGGAGCGAAAGCGUGGGGAGCGAACAGG